This is a non-coding RNA of Paramuricea clavata, 124 nucleotides long. Lineage: Eukaryota; Metazoa; Cnidaria; Anthozoa; Malacalcyonacea; Plexauridae. The record is from the annotation of a GenBank genome assembly.
UACCUCAAAAUUCCGCAACAGUCUGUUUCAUCAGUAAAGAAUCAUCAGGCGGUAUGAUGAUUCUUUACUGAUGAAACACACUGUUGAUGAUUCUUUACUGAUGAAACAGACUGUUGCGGAAUUU